GCCUACGGGGCGCAGCAGUGGGGAAUAUUGGGCAAUGGGAGCAAGCCUGACCCAGCAACGCCGCGUGAAGGAAGAAGGCUUUCGGGUUGUAAACUUCUUUUCUCAGGGACGAAGCAAGUGACGGUACCUGAGGAAUAAGCCACGGCUAACUACGUGCCAGCAGCCGCGGUAAUACGUAGGGGGCAAGCGUUAUCCGGAAUUAUUGGGCGUAAAGAGUACGUAGGCGGUUCUUUAAGCGCAGGGUUUAAGGCGAUAGCUUAACU
Molecule: ribosomal RNA, 263 nt
Filed under: uncultured bacterium
Lineage: Bacteria
Description: partial 16S ribosomal RNA
Rfam family: Bacterial small subunit ribosomal RNA
Source: RNAcentral